Molecule: ribosomal RNA, 253 nt
Filed under: uncultured bacterium
Lineage: Bacteria
Description: partial 16S ribosomal RNA
Rfam family: Bacterial small subunit ribosomal RNA
Source: RNAcentral
UACGUAGGGGGCGAGCGUUGUCCGGAUUCAUUGGGCGUAAAGCGCGCGCAGGCGGCUCGGAAAGUCGGGUGUGAAAACCUGGGGCUCAACCCCGGGCGUGCAUCCGAUACUGCCGGGCUUGAGGCAGGUAGGGGAGAUCGGAAUUCCUGGUGUAGCGGUGAAAUGCGCAGAUAUCAGGAGGAACACCGGUGGCGAAGGCGGAUCUCUGGGCCUGUCCUGACGCUGAGGCGCGAAAGCUAGGGGAGCGAACAGG